Molecule: long non-coding RNA, 1735 nt
Organism: Xiphophorus couchianus (Monterrey platyfish)
Lineage: Eukaryota; Metazoa; Chordata; Actinopteri; Cyprinodontiformes; Poeciliidae
Exons: 5
Source: RefSeq, a predicted model, not a curated record
CUGCUGUAAUGGAAAACCAUCAAACUGUGGAAACAUGAGAGCGACAGUGAGCGCCUCCGCUGACCAGCCGUUACCGCACUAAAUUGCCGUUGGCUCGCUGAGUCAGGAAUGCUCACCGUGCUCCAUGUGCCAACUGGUGGCGAACUGCUGUAACUGCAGUUUUAUACAUCUCAGUUCAAGUAGGAGAAGUGCAACUUAAGAGUAUAGUCUUUUAAAUAAAGUAAAAAGAGGGAGGGGGUGUAAUAAUUCUAAUGUCCAUUCUGUCACAGUGGCCAUAAAUAAAAGGAAAAGAAUAGGCCAAGCUCCUCACACACGCAUCAAAAGACCCAAACGGUUUGAAAUACAUUUUUCUGCCUAAUUUCCCUGAUGGUGAAGAUGAGACCAGUAUAGAAUCCAAACGAAAGGAACUUGUGGAGGAGAUGAAGCAACGCCGUCCAACUGCUGCUCUGAUAACCAAAAACAUGGACGUUUGCCUUGAGAAGACAAGAGUUGGUUAACUUAGAGCGUCCAGUAACGGACAUAAUGGAAAGGUGGCCAGCACUCUUUACAGAUGGUCAGGUAAUUUAAAACUCUUCCUAUCUUUUAUGCAUCAAGUUUUUUAGUUCUCACAUAAUUCAUUGUUUGUCACAUCUCUUGUUAACUUACAGAAUUAGUUUCAGUGUCCUGCUAGUGAAAAGUAGUCCUGAGAGGUCCAACAUCUCUAUAUGUUAAAUAUUAAUUUGUCAUACUCUUUUUUCAGAUUCUGGCAGAGUUCUGUCGCUUGUCGAGCAAAAACCUGGGUUCAGAAUUUUUCAAAGAACUUGACAAAUACACCCCUCGCUUCUUUGAGGUUUUCAAGAGCAAGGGGGGAAGUGUUGGCCAGAAACUUCAGAGGUAUCUGCAACAAGUCAGACCCGAGAGUACAGAUGUUACUGCGAAGCGAAUGCCAGUGCUCCGUGGCCUUCCUGUGAUCCUUGGAGAUGAGAACACAGACUUCUUCAAGACAUGCUUUGACUGCGAAGACCCAGACGUGUCUCACACCCCCAUUGGGAUCCUGACCAUCAUUCCUGAGGACAGGCAGGCCUCCCCGGACUCACUGCACCUUGAGUCUUCAGGUACUGCCAUCAUUUUGGAAGGAAGUCUUGUCAUGAAUGACCUUGGAAAUCUUCCACAUGCCAUGUACCUGCUCUUUGGACUCAUUUAUGCUCUGAAUUUGGAGUACCCUCAACAACUGAAGUACACCUUUGACUUCAUCCAAAGGGUGCUUCUCUCACUUGGACAUAAAUCCCUAAAACCAAAAAUACAAUCACUCAAAAAUCUUCUGAUGCAAUGAGUGAAUGUGAUGUGACAUUAUGGAUCAACGUUGAUACCUUUACCCUUAUUGGAAAAGUGAUUUUUAUUUCUUGUUUGAUUCUUUUUUGUUGGAGGGAGCAUCAUUGCACUUGCAGACUAAUAAAUGGUUUUAUGUUAAUGAGGAGAAACAUUACUUCACUUCACUACUUCACUAUUCACUUUAUCGAUGUUAUGAUAAAUGUUAGGCUCUAUUAUUGAGAAUUUAGUUUUUGUUUCACACCAGUCAACAAAGACAUUUAAGCAGGGAUUCUCAAAGUUUUAAAGACUGAGGGCCAUUUGAAGGAUUCAAUGUUAGACUGAAGGCUGCCCUAGAAAAAAAGUCAUGUCUUUUUUUUUUUUUUUCCUAAAAAAGUCUAUGGAAAACUUUGUUUCCAGGUUAGUGUGUAUGUAACCACACUUGAGA